CAAUAAGCGGAGGAAAAGAAACCAACAGGGAUUGCCCCAGUAACGGCGAGUGAAGCGGCAACAGCUCAAAUUUGAAAUCUGGCCCCCAGGGCCCGAGUUGUAAUUUGUAGAGGAUGCUUUUGGUGCGGUGCCUUCCGAGUUCCCUGGAACGGGACGCCAUAGAGGGUGAGAGCCCCGUCUGGUUGGACACCAAGCCUCUGUAAAGCUCCUUCGACGAGUCGAGUAGUUUGGGAAUGCUGCUCUAAAUGGGAGGUAUAUGUCUUCUAAAGCUAAAUACCGGCCAGAGACCGAUAGCGCACAAGUAGAGUGAUCGAAAGAUGAAAAGCACUUUGAAAAGAGGGUUAAAUAGUACGUGAAAUUGUUGAAAGGGAAGCGCUUGUGACCAGACUUGAGCCCGGUUAAUCAUCCAGCCUUCUGGCUGGUGCACUUGGCCGGCUCAGGCCAGCAUCAGUUCGGCGCGGGGGAUAAAUGCCUUGGGAAUGUGGCUCCUCCGGGAGUGUUAUAGCCCUUGGUACAAUACCCUGUGCUGGACUGAGGUUCGCGCAUCUGCAAGGAUGCUGGCGUAAUGGUCAUCAGCGACCCCGUCUUGAAAACACCGGAACCCAAGGGAGAAAUUCACCCUAAGUUGCAGGG
RNAcentral lists this ribosomal RNA (633 nucleotides) under uncultured Cosmospora. RNAcentral describes it as "LSU rRNA". It matches the Rfam family "Eukaryotic large subunit ribosomal RNA", at positions 44 to 664 of the family's 3401-position model. The record is from RNAcentral. Lineage: Eukaryota; Fungi; Ascomycota; Sordariomycetes; Hypocreales; Nectriaceae.